ACAACCAACCAAAACACAAAACAUAAGCAGAAGAGUCACACUUUUUUUUCUGGGCAGUGAAAGACGAACGUUACUGCUUUUGCGUCAUACUGAAGCUCACGUUGACCGCCAUGUUUAGGAAGAUCCAUUAGCGCAAUUUUAACGCCCAGCAACGACACACACGUUACCAGGAAGUUAGCUAAUGUGCUCAAAAAUUCGUUUUUUUCCUCCAAAACACGAGUGAACUGAUGUGACAUUUGAAAGGUGGAAGCAGCUUCGGACUUCCCGGAGUUGGAAUUAUAUUUGUUGGAAAGCCUCCGAAGCAUUGCUCUAACCGAAGUCACUGCAGGAUGCAGCAAAAAGUCAAUAAUCACGAUUUCUUCAUCAGCAUGAUUGACUUGUCUUAGACCGCCAUCUCAACCCCUUAUCCUCUCCCCACCCCUCGGCCCAUUCUUUGUCUCCUCCAGAGUCUCUAGGAGCUUGAUAUGGAGCUUAUGGGAAAAAGGAGGAAGAUCAAUCCUGGUGUCAGCAGCUCAGCACACAUCUCUCCCAGUAACGGCAGGACAAGUGUCAGCUGGAGGAGAGGCAGCCGCCAUGCAGAGAGAGAGAGAGAGAGAGAGAGAAAGAGAGAGUGAGUGAACAAAGGGGUUGAGGGGAUGGUGGUGGGUGGAUGAGAAAGAGAGCACUCUGCACGGCAGCCAAGCAAGUGAGCAAGCGAGCGGCCCAGCCCAAGGGAGUUCACCUCCAGUAGACAAAAGAUCAAUUCUCUCCAUUUCACUCUCAGCUCCUGAUAACAAGCAAAAGCUGUCUUGCCUUUGAAAUGUGCAUUCUGGUGUGCUACACACAUGCAGUUGCACAGUUACACUCUCAUACAGAUGGCAUACACACAAACCCAGUCACACACUUAAAUUUGAAGGCGAAGUGGUUUCAAGAGUGAUAAGAAAUAAUUAGGGAUGCAUUGACUGUGUAAUUCUGGGCCGAUAUUGAAAUAAAAUACACAAUUAGGCAGAUGUUUUUGUUUCUUUUGUUUUUGUUGUCAUUUCCCCCUUUUGUGCCAGUGAAAUAAAGAUUAAUUCAUCUAUUCAAGAACAUUUUUUCUUUUUAGGCAUGUGCCGAUUGGUGAGCGGAUAAUCAGCGUUUAAAGGGAUGAUUGACUAUUUGUGUUUUCCUACGCCGAUUAGAGUGACAAUUUUAGCCUACUAUCAGAACUAAGAUGUUAUAAAAAAUAAUUUUAGAGUCUGCACCCUAUUGUGAAUUUAGAGAUGUUUCUGGUGGAGUGGCAUGUUCGUCUGCUGAGCCGCAUGAGUGAAAACUUUAUUUUCCGUCUCUUUUUUCAUGAAUGUGACACAUCUCCAUUAGCCUGUGCUUACCUAAACUAUGCUCCGCACUCCAAAAGAGUAGUUAUUGUUAUGGACAUAGGCAGAGUUUGACAAUUGAGCCGGGGGGGCAAAAAAAUAAAGAAAACUCAAUGUAGCAGCUGAGAUCUGGCCUACCACUUGGGGAACACAGCACGAGCACAUAUGGACAAAACAAACAAUUAAAUUACAGUCAAACUAUUUAACAGUUCGCCCUUCUAAAAUCCAAUUGAGGCACGGCUGUCUUGGAACACAAUAAGCAGAAGGUGGUGGAAUGCCCUGACUCUUACAUUAAACUGAAAUGUAACAGUGAACAAUCAGUGUUGGACCUACAGUCUGUUGAGAUGCCUCUCCAAACGCAGAAACAAAGCACAAUCACACCAU
Molecule: long non-coding RNA, 1718 nt
Organism: Etheostoma spectabile (orangethroat darter)
Lineage: Eukaryota; Metazoa; Chordata; Actinopteri; Perciformes; Percidae
Exons: 3
Source: RefSeq, a predicted model, not a curated record